AACGAACGCUGGCGGCAUGCCUAACACAUGCAAGUCGAACGAUGCCUUCGGGCAUAGUGGCGCACGGGUGCGUAACGCGUGGGAAUCUGCCCUUGGCUUCGGAAUAACAGUUAGAAAUGACUGCUAAUACCGGAUGAUGUCCCCCUGAGAGAUCUUGGGGACCAAAGAUUUAUCGGCCAGGGAUGAGCCCGCGUAGGAUUAGGUAGUUGGUGGGGUAAAGGCCUACCAAGCCGACGAUCCUUAGCUGGUCUGAGAGGAUGAUCAGCCACACUGGGACUGAGACACGGCCCAGACUCCUACGGGAGGCAGCAGUGGGUAAUAUUGGACAAUGGGGGGAACCCUGAUCCAGCAAUGCCGCGUGAGUGAUGAAGGCCUUAGGGUUGUAAAGCUCUUUUACCAGGGAUGAUAAUGACAGUACCUGGAGAAUAAGCUCCGGCUAACUCCGUG
Molecule: ribosomal RNA, 447 nt
Filed under: uncultured bacterium
Lineage: Bacteria
Description: partial 16S ribosomal RNA
Rfam family: Bacterial small subunit ribosomal RNA
Source: RNAcentral